RNAcentral lists this ribosomal RNA (468 nucleotides) under uncultured bacterium. RNAcentral describes it as "partial 16S ribosomal RNA". It matches the Rfam family "Bacterial small subunit ribosomal RNA", at positions 28 to 507 of the family's 1533-position model. The record is from RNAcentral.
GACGAACGCUGGCGGCGUGCUUAACACAUGCUAGUCGAACGGAAAGGCCCUGCUUUUGUGGGGUGCUCGAGUGGCGAACGGGUGAGUAACACGUGAGUAACCUGCCUUUGACUUUGGGAUAACUUCAGGAAACUGGGGCUAAUACCGGAUAGGAGCUCCUGCUGCAUGGUGGGGGUUGGAAAGUUUCGGCGGUUGGGGAUGGACUCGCGGCUUAUCAGCUUGUUGGUGGGGUAGUGGCUUACCAAGGCAUUGACGGGUAGCCGGCCUGAGAGGGUGACCGGCCACAUUGGGACUGAGAUACGGCCCAGACUCCUACGGCAGGCAGCAGUGGGGAAUAUUGCACAAUGGGCGGAAGCCUGAUGCAGCAACGCCGCGUGCGGGAUGACGGCCUUCGGGUUGUAAACCGCUUUCGCCUGUGACGAAGCGUGAGUGACGGUAAUGGGUAAAGAAGCACCGGCUAACUACAUG